Small nuclear RNA from Phyllostomus discolor (pale spear-nosed bat), 103 nucleotides. NCBI's taxonomy places the organism in Eukaryota, Metazoa, Chordata, Mammalia, Chiroptera, Phyllostomidae. The record is from RefSeq and is a predicted model, not a curated record.
GUGCUCACUUUGGCAGCACAUACACCAUGAAAUGAUAUGGAGAAGAUUAGCAUGGCCCCUGUGCAAGGAUGACACACAAAUCCAGGAACAGUUCCAUAUUUUU